RNAcentral lists this ribosomal RNA (378 nucleotides) under uncultured bacterium. RNAcentral describes it as "bacterial SSU rRNA". It matches the Rfam family "Bacterial small subunit ribosomal RNA", at positions 790 to 1167 of the family's 1533-position model. The record is from RNAcentral.
GUAGUCCCAGCUGUAAACGGUGUGCGCUUGGUGUGGGGAGAUUUGACCCUCCCCGUGCCGGAGCUAACGCGUUAAGCGCACCGCCUGGGGAGUACGGUCGCAAGACUAAAACUCAAAGAAAUUGACGGGGGCCCGCACAAGCGGAGGAGCAUGUGGCUCAAUUCGAUGCAACGCGAAGAACCUUACCAGGACUUGACAUGCAGCUGCACGUCCGUCGAAAGGCGGAUUCCUUCGAGGGUGCUGCACAGGUGCUGCAUGGCUGUCGUCAGUUCGUGCCGUGAGGUGUUGGGUUAAGUCCCGCAACGAACGCAACCCCUGUGUUUAGUUGCCACCGCCGCAAGGCGAGCACUCUAAACAGACUGCCUGUACAAAACAGGA